This 301-nucleotide ribosomal RNA is filed under the name uncultured bacterium. Its description in RNAcentral is "partial 16S ribosomal RNA". It matches the Rfam family "Bacterial small subunit ribosomal RNA", at positions 509 to 807 of the family's 1533-position model. The record is from RNAcentral.
CAGCCGCCGCGGUAAUACAGAGGGUGCAAGCGUUAAUCGGAAUUACUGGGCGUAAAGCGAGCGUAGGUGGUUUGUUAAGUUGGAUGUGAAAGCCCCGGGCUCAACCUGGGAACUGCAUCCAAAACUGGCAAGCUAGAGUACGGUAGAGGGUGGUGGAAUUUCCUGUGUAGCGGUGAAAUGCGUAGAUAUAGGAAGGAACACCAGUGGCGAAGGCGACCACCUGGACUGAUACUGACACUGAGGUGCGAAAGCGUGGGGAGCAAACAGGAUUAGAUACCCCCGUAGUCCUUGUCUCUUAUAC